This 348-nucleotide ribosomal RNA is filed under the name Triticum aestivum (bread wheat). RNAcentral describes it as "partial small subunit ribosomal RNA". The record is from RNAcentral. Lineage: Eukaryota; Viridiplantae; Streptophyta; Magnoliopsida; Poales; Poaceae.
AUGGACGGUUUGCUCCAUUGGGAUUUCGACCCCGGCCUUAAGGUCGAGGACCAGGUUCGUAGAAGAUUCAAAUCCACGGUUCAUUUCUCUCUCCCAUCUACUUCCAAGGAAUUUUUCUUGGUGGUCACUUUCUCCUCUGCCUCCUUCCCUCUCUCUUGUGCUUCGGUUGGUUUGGCGUUGCAAUGUUGCAUUGGAGGUCUUGCUUCUGGAUUUAACGUGACACAAAUUGGAGCAAAAAACUUUAGGUUCUCUAUGGCUUCAAAUAAGGUGGGACAUUUCAUCUAUGCCCUACGGGAUAGAGUCUGGCCGGAUUUUGUUUGUCACUUUGGUUUAUUCAAACAGCCAUGA